This 491-nucleotide ribosomal RNA is filed under the name uncultured bacterium. Its description in RNAcentral is "partial 16S ribosomal RNA". It matches the Rfam family "Bacterial small subunit ribosomal RNA", at positions 29 to 507 of the family's 1533-position model. The record is from RNAcentral.
AGUGAACGCUGGCGGUAGGCCUAACACAUGCAAGUCGAACGGCAGCACAGUAAGAGCUUGCUCUUACGGGUGGCGAGUGGCGGACGGGUGAGGAAUACAUCGGAAUCUACUUUUUCGUGGGGGAUAACGUAGGGAAACUUACGCUAAUACCGCAUACGACCUACGGGUGAAAGCAGGGAUCUUCGGACCUUGCGCGAUUGAAUGAGCCGAUGUCGGAUUAGCUAGUUGGCGGGGUAAAGGCCCACCAAGGCGACGAUCCGUAGCUGGUCUGAGAGGAUGAUCAGCCACACUGGAACUGAGACACGGUCCAGACUCCUACGGGAGGCAGCAGUGGGGAAUAUUGGACAAAGGGCGCAAGCCUGAUCCAGCCAUACCGCGUGGGUGAAGAAGGCCUUCGGGUUGUAAAGCCCUUUUGUUGGGAAAGAAAAGCAGCAGGUUAAUACCCCGCUGUUCUGACGGUACCCAAAGAAUAAGCACCGGCUAACUUCGUG